RNAcentral lists this ribosomal RNA (292 nucleotides) under uncultured bacterium. Its description in RNAcentral is "partial 16S ribosomal RNA". It matches the Rfam family "Bacterial small subunit ribosomal RNA", at positions 505 to 796 of the family's 1533-position model. The record is from RNAcentral.
GUGUCAGCAGCCGCGGUAAGACGUAGGGGGCCAGCGUUGCUCGGAAUUACUGGGCGUAAAGGGUCCGUAGGCGGUGCGGCAAGUCGGGAGUGAAAUCUCUGGGCUUAACCCAGAGUCUGCUUCCGAAACUGCCGCGCUGGAGUGCGGGAGAGGCGAGUGGAAUUGCAGGUGUAGCGGUGAAAUGCGUAGAUAUCUGCAGGAACACCAGAGGCGAAAGCGGCUCGCUGGACCGCAACUGACGCUGAGGGACGAAAGCUAGGGGAGCAAACAGGAUUAGAAACCCUCGUAGUCC